Molecule: ribosomal RNA, 253 nt
Filed under: uncultured bacterium
Lineage: Bacteria
Description: partial 16S ribosomal RNA
Rfam family: Bacterial small subunit ribosomal RNA
Source: RNAcentral
UACGUAGGUGGCAAGCGUUGUCCGGAAUUAUUGGGCGGAAAGAGCUUGUAGGCGGUUUGUCGCGUCUGCUGUGAAAUUUCGGGGCUCAACCCCGAACUUGCAGUGGGUACGGGCAGGCUAGAGUGUGGUAGGGGAGACUGGAAUUCCUGGUGUAGCGGUGAAAUGCGCAGAUAUCAGGAGGAACACCGAUGGCGAAGGCAGGUCUCUGGGCCACUACUGACGCUGAGAAGCGAAAGCAUGGGGAGCGAACAGG